Molecule: ribosomal RNA, 301 nt
Filed under: uncultured bacterium
Lineage: Bacteria
Description: partial 16S ribosomal RNA
Rfam family: Bacterial small subunit ribosomal RNA
Source: RNAcentral
CAGUCGCCACGGUAAUACAGAGGGUGCGAGCGUUAAUCGGAUUUACUGGGCGUAAAGCGCGCGUAGGUGGUUUGUUAAGUUGGAUGUGAAAGCCCCGGGCUCAACCUGGGAACUGCAUCCAAAACUGGCAAGCUAGAGUACGGUAGAGGGUGGUGGAAUUUCCUGUGUAGCGGUGAAAUGCGUAGAUAUAGGAAGGAACACCAGUGGCGAAGGCGACCACCUGGACUGAUACUGACACUGAGGUGCGAAAGCGUGGGGAGCAAACAGGAUUAGAUACCCGGGUAGUCCCUGUCUCUUAUAC